Molecule: unclassified non-coding RNA, 117 nt
Organism: Pongo abelii (Sumatran orangutan)
Lineage: Eukaryota; Metazoa; Chordata; Mammalia; Primates; Hominidae
Rfam family: Metazoan signal recognition particle RNA
About the family: The signal recognition particle (SRP) is a universally conserved ribonucleoprotein. It is involved in the co-translational targeting of proteins to membranes.
Source: Ensembl
GCCAGGCGCGGUGGCUCACGCCUGUAAUCCCAGCACUUUGGGAGGCUGAGGUGGGUGGAUCACCUGAGGUCGGGAGUUCGAGACCAGCCUGACCAACAUGGAGAAACCCCAUCUCUA